Long non-coding RNA from Triticum aestivum (bread wheat), 3242 nucleotides. RefSeq lists it as uncharacterized. The record is from RefSeq and is a predicted model, not a curated record. The transcript has 2 exons. NCBI's taxonomy places the organism in Eukaryota, Viridiplantae, Streptophyta, Magnoliopsida, Poales, Poaceae.
GGAGCGCGCGAGAUGCGGAACUUUUCGCUCCAAAUAAGCAAAAUCCCCAAACUCCAACUCAGACCAAAAUCCCCAAAUCGACCACCCUAACCUAGCCUCCUCCCCGAGCACACGCCGCCGCCCCCACCCUGCGCGGCUGCCAACCGCCCUCCGCCACACUCCAGUGCCAGCUUCCUCCCCGACCACGCGCCGACCACCGUCCGCCACACCACUGCAACUCCUCCCGGACCAUGCCGCCGAGCACCCUCCGCCGCCCCGACCACCAUUUGCCGGACCUCCAGCAACGCCCAAGCAGCCAAGCCUCCUACAUGGUCCUCCGCCAAGCUCCUCUAGGCUCGAGUUGCUCAAGUGUUUCAGCGGAAGGAUCUAUUCGAGUGAGGAUGUCCACAAGGAUGACGUCUAACUUCCACCAGAUCUGGCAUAAAGAGGAUCCCCAAGCGACUCGCAGAUGCGAAGGAAAAUUGAGCAAGGUUCCGCCUCCCAUGGUUGAGCAGUCGUAAGGGUUAUGUUGUCUCUCCAUGUUGCUGGUUAUAUGAGCCCAACUAAUGUUUGCUUCCUGUGAUCUAGGGAAGGAUAAAAUUGAUGAUUCCUACCUGCCAUACUCAUCUAUUUCUGUUUUCAGUUGACAUUCCUACUGUACGAAUUACAGUCUUUGGUACAUUCACUUAUCCCUUCGAAUUUGACAAGCAUGGAAGAAUCUGAAUAUCACUUAUCCCUCUCCCGUUACUAUUUAGCAUAUGCUAACUGACUGCUGUGUUUAUGCUUAUAUCCUUCGGUUAUAGUUUAUAACAAACCAAAUUAAGGAUUUUGUGUUCAUCUCUGAAACUUCAUAAUGAUGGUUGGUAUUUAAUCUUUCAAGGAAAUGCAGCAAGCUGUUGUACUAGGAAGAUUAUCCUGACAUGGGAGUUUUUUUAGGAACAGGAGAGUCGCACACAUAUGAAGUAUAGAAAUUUAUCCUUAAUGUGCUAGGCUUAAUGCAACUAGAUAAAUGUUCAACAAGGCAUAUUGAUGUGUUAAAUUGUUUUCAGUUUGAGAUGUCAAUACAAGAAAGGUAACCUUGUGUUAGAUCUUCAAUCCAAAGGAGAAAUUGGAGCAUCGGGACAUUUAAACUGAACCUAAAUUAAGGUAAUAAUAUAUGUAAAGUAUGUUAUUUUCUGUUGUUCUAAAGCCCUAUUGUUUUGGUUCAUUUUAGAAAAACAGGGCCACUCUCAGGGUCCAUUUUGAUUGAACUUAAACUGCGUACAUAGUUAACACCAUUGAGACAGACUGAGUAGCUAACCACUUAUAAGGUUUUCCAGAAAAGAAUGAUGAAAUAAAAGGGGACACCAUCGAGACAAACCGAGUAGCUAACUCGAAGUCUUGUGAAUGGAAGGAAAUUGGGAUAUUUGCUAAUUCUGUACUAGUCAAAACGUAUGUGUGUAGAUAUUCUGAUCAUUCUGGUUCAUGUCCUACUUAAUUAAGGUCUUCAUUUAUAGGCCUUGCGCAAAUGAUAUGAUUAUUUAACAACUUAGUUUCAUGGUGUUGGAUCUCACGUGAAUAAACUAUAUGUCGAAGUGUUUGCUGUUCUUUGCUUAACUAGAUAUCAAAGUAUAAACAACAAGCUUGUAUACAAUAUGUCAAAUUAUAAUCAAAUAACAAGCUCGUGUUCUUUGCUUAAUAAUGAUAAGAGCUUUACAAUUAACAGGCUCCAGUACAAAGAUGUCAAAGUUUUAAUAUAAAUUGUACCAACUUAUAAUGGUGGAUUCUAAUUAUAGUGUACUAGAUAAGCGGCCUUCGGUGACAUUUUGAGCUCUUGUCUGUUGUCUUCAACUGAUAGUGUAUAGCAGCCAACAAUGUGAAUUUAUGAUGGUUAUUUAGUUUAUUUUAUUGUACAUUCUGCAGAGCUUUCCUCAUUAAUUCAUUUUUUCACAAAAUUGGGAAGGCUAUUGUAUUGCUGCGUAAACUGGAGCAAGGCCGUACCAUUUCCAUCUGACAAAACAUCCUGAAUGUCUUGUCUAGUUCUUACACUCUAACAAGGCCAUACAUAACGGUGUUGUAAGAUGAUAGUCUGGACAUGAUUUAGCUUUUAAACUUACAGUAUACUGCUCUUACAAUGUUGUAAGAUUUGAAGGUCGAAGAUACUACACUUCGGUACAGAUCUAUAUCAUUAUUUGAGAAGUAAACUUUUAAUCUGCAGUAGAGUUGUAUCUACUAAACAUUGGAAUUUCUUGAUUAAUUUUCUGUAUCUAUCACUGCAAUGGUUACAGGUUGAUCUUUACUUGCAAUCUAAUUUGCAUGUUGGUGUGUGUUCUUCAGGAAUCAUGAUACUACUUUAUGAUCUGAUUGGUGAAAGAGGUAUUUUGUACGGUUCUCUUGUGUCCGACUUGUCUUUUUCUCUCUAUAUAAAGUAGCAUUGAAAAUGUCCUUGUAUUUCCUUUGACAUCUCAGAAGCUCACACCUGAAUAUCAUGAUAUAUGCAUGUAAGAAAGCUCUGUAUGUUCUUUUGAGUUAAGCCUAACACCAAACAUUUUAGUUUCUAUAAUUCUUAGUUAAUGCUGGAAAAACGUUUGAAUUUUAUUUGCUGUACUAGUUGCCUUUGUCUGCUCAUACAAAAAUACUAGAUCCUAUGAUGUCAAAAAUUCAUACAGGUUGUGGAUGACACUUCCUUUUUCUUGAACGUUGUUCCCAUUUUGUCUUAUGUGUAGUGUUUUCAAACAGAUUUCGAUGAGUCUUCACUUUCAGAAAACUAAACUUAAUAUCAGAGACAAUCUCACCAUGCCAUUAUGGGUUUAAUUAUUUGUCCAGACCUGAAACUGUUGUCAUGCUUUCUAGGAAGGGCAACUAGAUGUGCUUAAUUCAUGUGCCCAGGCUUGAAACUGCGGACAUUUUUUAGCUUCUUAUUAAAUCGAAUAUUCACUUGAUGCCUUGAUGGGAAAUUUGUCGAUAAAUUUUCUUGAUGAUGUAGCCAUUUUUCUUCUAAAAGUUGGGGUGGUGCACUUUUGUAGAUUCUGAGUAUCGUAAUAAAUGUAAUGGAUAUAAUGUUUUCUAAUACUACAUGACUUGACAUUUGGUUUUUCCUGUCCAGGUUGAAAAUGUUCCUGUAAGAUUCGUCAAGAUACCUUGCCUUAACCAUAUGCCGUGAGCUCACGCAGAACUUACAGGCUUUACUCUUUGUGUUUGUUUCAUCUUGUACUGCUCAAAUGUCUAGAAACUACAGAUGCUAAAUUAUGAGGGAAGUCUUCAUGUGUUUUUUUUCGAGAGUA